UGAGCCAAGUAAAUGAAGUGGGGAUGGUAAUACAGUGCGUUGUAGCAGGGAGUGAGAGAGUGACAAGCUCGCUCCUCCCAUGAAGCAGCUGAGCUGGCAUUAAACAGACAAGACAUCCCGUUCAGUCAGUUAUCAACCCAGGAAUAAUGAAGGAACGGGCCGGCAGACCAGGACGAGUCACCCUAGUCAGCCAAGUGGAGAAUUUAAUUUCGUGCAGGUUUCUCUGCAGUCAAGCAUUUCCCAGUCGGAGGUCCACUGGUGCCUGGGUGAGUGUGGACAACUCAGUGCUCCCGACACCCAGUCUCUUCGGCGCUGACAAAGAUGCGUGGUGAUGGAUGUUCGAGUGGCUGAAGGGAAAGGGGGAAACUGAAGUUUGGGAGGGUUUUUUAAGAGGUGACUUCGCACCAACGGUGACCACUCGUUUGGAAGCGAUCCACUCGCCCGUGGCAGUUAAGACCUGCCCGGGGUUCAGGUUCUUUAAGCGGAAAUAAUUGCAGAGGUGCACGCUCCAUUAAAAACAACUAUUUAAUACAAUAAUCAUUCAAUUAAAAAUCCCUCAUAGCGGCUGCCACAAUUGAUUUGGAUCAUAGAAACAAAUUAUUUGAAGUAUGAGGCGAACUGUUAAACCAAGGUAAUGAGGAAAAUGUGUGGAUGCUCCUUUAAAUGUAUAGACAGAUUUAUUUAUUUAUGUAUUUAUUUAUUGUUGUUGUUUUAUCUAAUCUGUUCUCUUCACACCGGAACAAUCGGAGUUACAGAUAAAAACAAACAUAGCUGGUAUAAUAAGGAUCGGUGAGUAGGUUAUAGAAGUGGGUCUCUAAAAGCCCAACAAGCUAUUUUAUAUAAAAAACAUCAACUUUACUCUCUAAAACAAGUCGUGUUGCUUUCACUGGCUUGGACCCCUACUAAGAUGACUAAAUGAUGAAGCUGUAACCUCAGUUAUAAAAAGAGAUGAGUCAUUUCUCUCCAGGAUCCAAAAUUCAUUUUCUACAGGUAAGAAUAAAUGAGUCAGAUUAAUUUACCAUUGCAUCUAUAUGUUGUCUGGUAAAGCUGAAUGUCAGUUAAAUAAAUAAAUUAUGCACAAAGACAAAUAGCAAAACCAUUCAUGGACAUGCUUUUCCAAAGGCUGAAGACCUAUAGCUUAGAUGUUUAUGUUUUAAAAUAUAGUUUCUUUUUUUUGUUUUAAAAAAAUUAGUAGAGUAAUUCUUGAAACCAGGUAAAGAAAUCCAGGCGUGGCUGCUGUUUUUAUGUUUUUACAUCACCAGGAAAGGCUAGCCUGGCACACCGUGCUAUAAAUGUAAAUAUUUAUUCUGUCUACGACCCAUAGACAGAGCUCAGGUCGGGUGGCACCUAUGGUUGUUUUGAAAACUGUCUCCGCAAAAAUCUGAGCCACGCUAGGACCAACCAGAGCAAUGAACAAAGUGAUUAACUCAUUGCUAAAGAAAUCAGUGAACAGGGGAGUUCACCAUACACCAUAGAAGAAGAAGAGGCAAAUACAAGCUAAGCCCACCCAGCGUCUCUCUACAAAUAGAGCACUGUGACUGUCUCAACCUAAAGCUGUUUGGGCCAAUGGUAGACCUGCUGAGGCUACAGUGGAGCGUGGCUAGGCCGACCGGCAGAGCAAAAUAUUUUGCUGCCAGUUGGUCUAGAUGGCUAAGCUAAGUUUCUUUUAACAACAAACGCUCAAGGAUGCUGCUUACUUUACCUCUAUGUCUCCAUCAAGAUAUCUAUUUGACUUAUUUUCAUUGUAGAAACUCUGCUUUUAUGUUUUUAGUCUUACAUUCAUGAUCAUCUUUUUCCUGAACUUGAAGCAGGCUCAUCCUUAACAAACAAUAACACUGACCUCAUUAUUGAACCUGCACCAGGCGGCGUCUGGUUUCACACGAUGGGUCCAUGCUGUUCAGCGUGGGUGUGAGUAACAGUGGAGCACAGAUCAUAACUUUCUUAGAACUGUUUUAACGUGUGAAUGAGUGCACACAGGGAUUGUUUUACCUGCUAUUUUUGUUACCUUGCUUUCAUGUUUUUGCAUUUGACAGAUUCCUGCAGGUGUGGUUUUGGACUCCCGCCAUGUGCCGCGUCUCCCCUGGGGUGUUGGUCACCACUGAGUAUGCACAGGUGUGAAGUGUGGGAGUUCUGCUCGAGGCCCACUUGUUUUGCAGGUCGAGAGGAGCCAGUUGAAGUGGCUCUGGUCAAGAUGCCUCCCGAACGCCUCCCUGGUGAGGUUUUCCAAUCACAUCCAACCAGGAGGAGACCUAAGGAAAGACCCAGGACACGCUGGAGGGACUGUGUCUCAUGGCUGGCAAGGGAACGCCUUAGGAUUCUCCCGGAGGAGCUGGCCCAAGUGGCUGGGGAGAGGGAAGUAUGGGCCUCUCGGUUUAGGUUGCUGCCCCUGCGACCCAAAUCCCGCUAAGUGGCUGAAACUGGAUGGAUGGAUCCCUGCAGGUUCUCGCAUGUACAGAAAUGACUUUAAAGGUGUGGAACACUGAAAAAUCUUUUUGUGAUGAUUAUUUCUGUCAUUCUGAGAUUUUCAUGCGAGCUAAAUAUGAAAACAGUCUCCUACCUAUCUCCUGCAUUAGCUUCUGAUAGAAAAUAAACGGUGACACUAGGAUUUGAAAAGCCUGGCCGAUCUACGUCACACUCAACAUUCAUGGACUCACCCAUCUUGACUCAUGAUGGGGAAGCAGUGUUAAUUUUGUUGACAAAAUAUUUUUGUCUUUUUUUUUCGUCACGAAUAUAUAUUUACAGACAAAAAUGAAACAAAAUUUCAAAAUAAAAGCUUGGAAAAAGACAAAGAUGGUAAUGAAAUUGAUUGAAACUUUUAGUCAAUGAAUAAAAGAUGAGACGAAAAUCCACGAUGACGAAUAUCUAAUCAGAAGACAGGAAAGAUGCAUGACGCAUAUAAAAGGACCAAUCAACAAAUUGAACAGGCAGGACUAGGUGAGAAGAUAACCAAUCAGAGUCCACUUUGUUUAGAGGUGACGCUAGGCCUACCAUAAUAACAAUCAACUUCUCCAUGUUUGCUCGGAGAUGUCCGGAGCUCUCGGAUGCGACCUGACUGCUCACACUGUCCAUCUGGUAGCAACACGUCGGACCUAAAAAUUAUGCUAAAAACAGCAGUUUUUACACAACACGUCAGACUUUUUUGUUUUGCCUGUUGUCCUUCGGGAGUGCUGCAGGAGGACAUACAGGGAUUUAUGGGGGUUGGAUGAGGAAAACGAAAUAAAGUAAAUCUGUGUUUUGUGAUCAGUUUAAUUUGGCAUGAACACGACAAACACGCUUUCUUGACAAUCUUUGUGAGUAAAAAAACAUGUAGAAACAAAAACGAACAACGUGUCUUGUUAGGGAAAUAGCGGGCGAGCGGUGUUGAUGCAUGACUGCGCAUGCGCCGUGAGUGGUUCUUGUACUUUUUGGGUCGCAGCCACGCGCUGCACUGCUUCAACUGUGCAAUCGUGAGCUCGCACGGAGUGCAAUACCCUCACGAGGGACGAGCAAAAUAUCAAACAUGCCAGAAGUCCAUGCGAGCUCACGAUUGCACAGUUGAAGCGGUGCAGCGAGCGGCUGCGACCCAAAAAGUACAAGAACCACUCACGGCGCUUGCGCAAUCAUGCACACACGUUGUUCGUUUUUGCUCAAUGAGGAAGUGCACGUGCGCUCUAAACCAGGACUAGACCAGUAAAGUGAAGCAUGCUUUUGGCUGUUUAUAAUUUUCACAAUGUCUGGUUUGCACUGAUAUGUUCCGAGUCCUGAGCCCGCACAGAUGUUUUACCAGUACGUUUUAUAACCCGGUGCGCCUUUUGUAUGCGUUAAAUACCAAAAAGACACCCGUAACUGACAGCUUACAGGUCCUGUAUUGUACUUAUUUUGGGGUGUUAACCAUUUUAUUGUGAAGUGUCUGGGAAAAUGCAUGCCCUCGAAGGAGGAAUUUUUAUUUUUGAGUAUUUCUGCAUGCUAGUUUGAAAAAUGCUUGUUGUGCAAUUGCUAAAAAGAGCACCUUUGUAAUUCCCAGUGUGCUUUUUGUUUUUUUAUUAAACACGUACGUGUUAAACA
Molecule: long non-coding RNA, 4044 nt
Organism: Nothobranchius furzeri (turquoise killifish)
Lineage: Eukaryota; Metazoa; Chordata; Actinopteri; Cyprinodontiformes; Nothobranchiidae
Source: RefSeq, a predicted model, not a curated record